Long non-coding RNA from Oncorhynchus tshawytscha (Chinook salmon), 1241 nucleotides. The record is from Ensembl. NCBI's taxonomy places the organism in Eukaryota, Metazoa, Chordata, Actinopteri, Salmoniformes, Salmonidae.
GGUCCAGCAUGGUGGUGGUGGUGUGAAGGUUUGGGGUCAGCAUGGUGGUGGUGGUAGUGCGAUGGUUUGGGGUCCAGCAUGGUGGGGGUAGUGUGAUGGUUUGGGGUCAGCAUGGUGGGGGUAGUGUGAUGGUUUGGGGUCAGCAUGGUGGUGGUGUGAUGGUUUGGGGUCAGCAUGGUGGUGGUAGUGUGAUGGUUUGGGGUCCAGCAUGGUGGUGGUAGUGUGAUGGUUUGGGGUCCAGCAUGGUGGUGGUAGUGUGAUGGUUUGGGGUCCAGCAUGGUGGUGGUGGUAGUGUGAUGGUUUGGGGUCAGCAUGGUGGUGGUAGUGUGAUGGUUAGGGGUCCAGCAUGGUAGUGGUAGGGUGAUGGUUUGGGGUCCAGCAUGGUGGUGGUAGUGUGAUGGUUUGGGGUCCAGCAUGGUGGUGGUAGUGUGAUGGUUUGGGGUCCAGCAUGGUGGUGGUAGUGUGAUGGUAGUUGGAUGGUUUGGGGUCAGCAUGGUGGUGGUAGUGUGAUGGUUUGGGGUCCAGCAUGGUGGUGGUGAUGUGUGAUGGUUUGGGGUCAGCAUGGUGGUGGUAGUGUGAUGGUUUGGGGUCCAGCAUGGUGGUGGUAGUGUGAUGGUAGUGUGAUGGUUUGGGGCAUGGUGGUGGUAGUGUGAUGGUUUGGGGUCCAGCGUGGUGGUGGUCGUGUGAUGGUUUGGGGUCAGCAUGGUGGUGGUGGUAGUGUGAUGGUUUGGGGUCAAGCAUGGUGGUGGUAGUGUGAUGGUUUGGGGUCAGCAUGGUGGUGGUAGUGUGAUGGUUUGGGGUCAGCAUGGUGGUGGUAGUGUGAUGGUUUGGGGUCAGCAUGGUGGUGGUAGGGUGAUGGUAGUGUGAUGGUUUGGGGUCAAGCAUGGUGGUGGUAGUGUGAUGGUUUGGGGUCAAGCAUGGUGGUGGUAGUGUGAUGGUUUGGGGUCAGCAUGGUGGUGGUAGUGUGAUGGUUUGGGGUCAGCAUGGGUGGUGCUAGUGUGAUGGUAGUGUGAUGGUUUGGGGUCAAGCAUGGUGGUGGUAGUGUGAUGGUAUGGGGUCAGCAUGGUGGUGGUAGUGUGAUGGUAGUGUGAUGGUUUGGGGUCAGCAUGGUGGUGGUAGUGUGAUGUUUUGGGGUCAGCAUGGUAGUGGUAGUGUGAUGGUUUGGGGUCUAGCAUGGUGGUGGUGGUAGUGUAAUGGUUUGGGGUCUAGCAUGGUGGUGGUGGUAGUGUAAUGGUUUGGGG